UCCAUGGUGAUCGCUGGCUGACAGAUCUAGGGUCAGUUUUACACUUUUACUAACACGACAGUCGUUGGACUGAUGCUGCACAAGGCUGAUUUCUGAUCAGUAGGCUUACACGAGAUGACCACUGCGUGUCGCCUGCUGCCCCUAUAGUCGCUUAUUUAUCGUGAAAGAUCUGGCAACCCCGCACCAGCGAUGCUGAGGAGCACUGUGUCACCUGCAGUUCCUUCACGAGAGACCGCAUCCACUAACUGCCUGGACAGUCUAAUUUGGACAAUAAGUGAGUGACAUUAAGAUGAAGAGAAGAAACGAUAUUGAGAGCUUCUUUAUCAAGAAAAAAAAAAGAGUCAGAGUCAGCUACAGCCAGUACCAGCACCAGUGCAGAUGCCCACACAAGCCAGCAGCCUAGGGAUAGUGUUGAUGAGCAGUCCACUACCCCAAUACAAGAUGUUGACCAGCCACAUUUGGAGGAGGAGGAGACGGACUGUGAAUCUGUGUUGUCUGGAUCUCCACCUACUGAGCAUGGUAUGUCAGG
Engraulis encrasicolus (European anchovy) is the source of this 529-nucleotide long non-coding RNA. RefSeq lists it as uncharacterized. NCBI's taxonomy places the organism in Eukaryota, Metazoa, Chordata, Actinopteri, Clupeiformes, Engraulidae. The transcript is spliced from 3 exons. The record is from RefSeq and is a predicted model, not a curated record.